RNAcentral lists this long non-coding RNA (1447 nucleotides) under Limulus polyphemus (Atlantic horseshoe crab). Its description in RNAcentral is "uncharacterized LOC111089180, transcript variant X2". The record is from RNAcentral. Lineage: Eukaryota; Metazoa; Arthropoda; Merostomata; Xiphosura; Limulidae.
GGGGUCAAUUAAUGGAUAAUAUAUUCAGUUGUGUUUAUUAUAAAACAAAAAAUGUUAAAGGCAAAAGACAGUUUUGCACUCUCGUUCCGAUUCAUUUGUAUCAGAAGUAUUUUGUGUAAAUGCAGCAUUUGCGUGAGUGUAGCUAAUAAAUACGUUAGCUAAAUCUAGUUAUAUCCAGUUCUAUAUUAGUUUGUAUUUUACUAUGGGUUCCCUGUGCCUUACCCAGUGUGGGUAUCAAAACCCCAUUUUUAACUUUAUAAGCCCUUGGACUUAAUGCAUUUAAACAGUAUUUAGUAUGUGAAGUGUUUCAUAAUUUAAUGCCUCCAGUUGACUUAGCUGUAAGAAUGAGAGGCUAUAAUGCUAAGAAUCGGGUUUUAAUACCUGCGGUAGCCAGAGCAAAGAUGGACUAUUGUGUAGUUUUGUUAAUAAAUUUAAACAGAUAAACAGUUAUAUAAUGGUAAAUGUGUCUAGUGAGCGGGUGAUAAGGUGGACAUGAUUGGAUGAAAAGUUAAAGGAUUGGAUAGACAGACUGACUGGAUGAAAGUUUAGAUGAAUGAGUAAAAUUUUCACAAGUAAAAAAAAAUGCUGACUAUUUUGAUGACUUGUCACAGGGAUGAAAAGUUUGCUUGACAAAUAGCUCUGUUGAUUAAAAAAAAUGGUGCAAGGGUUAAUUAUUGGUCCAAUAAGAAACAAACUGGCCAGUAUCUCUCAGAGUUUGAGGUUUAGUUAGACAGAGUGGCAUAUACUAGAUGUACGUCUGUGUAUGGACAUAAGGAUUAAAGGAAGUACAGACAAAUAAGUGGAGAAAUAGAAAAGCCAACAGAAAAUCAUAAAAGCUGAUGUGAAAAGACUGACUACGAUGAAGGCACAAGAGAUUUUGAACAGAUGUCUAAAAACCCUUUAACUUUACCUGGUGAUGAAGAAGAGUCCAUUAGCUCCAGUCAUAUUGUUGUUAUAAUAAUGAUUUUUGAAAAUUUGGAGGUAAUAGAGAAACUCUUUUAAAGAAAACACGUAAAUUUUGACGUGUAAAUACCAGUUUACGGUUUAUUCAUAAACAAUGACAUCUAGAAGAUUUUCCUUGCACAGGUGUAAGAUUAUUUUUGCAGCUUCUUUAGUAUUGUUUUUGCUGGGAGUUUGUGUUUUAAUGUACUAUACAGAGUGUAUUGGCACGCCUUGUGAAGAUAGAAACAGUUUAAAAGGAGUAGUUCAAGAAGAAAAGCUAGCAUAUUUUGCUAACUCACCAGCUAGGGAGUUCAAAAGGUGGGAGCGACCUGUUUUACAAAAUAAUCCACCUCACUGGCCAGGAGAGAAUGGAAAAGCAGUGAUUAUUGGUAAAGAGGAAGAAACUUUGAAAAAUGAACUCUUUAAGCUCAAUCUAUUCAACUUGCUUGCCAGUGACCAAAUCUCUGUCAACAGAUCUAUUCCUGAUAGUCGAAUAAAAAGGUAA